UGCGUAGGCGGCUUUUUAAGUUUGGUGUGAAAUCUCCCGGCUCAACUGGGAGGGUGCGCCGAAUACUGAGAGGCUAGAGUGUGGGAGAGGAAAGUGGAAUUCCUGGUGUAGCGGUGAAAUGCGUAGAUAUCAGGAGGAACACCGGUGGUGUAAACGGCUUUCUGGACCAUAACUGACGCUGAGGCACGAAAGCGUGGGUAGCAAACAGGAUUAGAUACCCUGGUAGUCCACGCCAUAAACGAUGCAUAUUUGGUGUGGGCCAUUCAUUUGGUCUGUGCCGGAGCUAACGCGUUAAAUAUGCCGCCUGGGGAGUACAGUCGCAAGGCUGAA
RNAcentral lists this ribosomal RNA (330 nucleotides) under uncultured bacterium. RNAcentral describes it as "bacterial SSU rRNA". It matches the Rfam family "Bacterial small subunit ribosomal RNA", at positions 568 to 898 of the family's 1533-position model. The record is from RNAcentral.